GCUAAGGCUAAUUAAACUAUAAAAUAACGGAUUCAAAAUCCGUCGAGGGUAACUUCGUGCGGGUUCGACUCCCGCCUUCGGCACCA
Molecule: transfer RNA, 86 nt
Filed under: Clostridium sporogenes
Lineage: Bacteria; Bacillati; Bacillota; Clostridia; Eubacteriales; Clostridiaceae
Description: tRNA-Leu
Rfam family: tRNA (bases 9-75)
About the family: Transfer RNA (tRNA) molecules are approximately 80 nucleotides in length. Their secondary structure includes four short double-helical elements and three loops (D, anti-codon, and T loops).
Source: RNAcentral